UCUUCUGGGUACCUUGUUAAAUGCAGACUCACAUUCUCUAAGCCUGAGAUUCUGUAUUUCUAACAAGCUCCCAGG
Molecule: microRNA precursor, 75 nt
Filed under: Pteropus vampyrus (large flying fox)
Lineage: Eukaryota; Metazoa; Chordata; Mammalia; Chiroptera; Pteropodidae
Description: miRNA (ENSPVAG00000028137.1)
Source: RNAcentral